GGAUCUUUAGCUCAGUUGGUUAGAGCAACCGGCUCAUAACCGGUCGGCCCGGGGUUCGAGUCCCUGAAGGUCCACCA
RNAcentral lists this transfer RNA (77 nucleotides) under Sarcina ventriculi. RNAcentral describes it as "tRNA-Ile". It matches the Rfam family "tRNA". Rfam says of the family: Transfer RNA (tRNA) molecules are approximately 80 nucleotides in length. Lineage: Bacteria; Bacillati; Bacillota; Clostridia; Eubacteriales; Clostridiaceae. The record is from RNAcentral. RNAcentral also lists the same sequence under 28 other names.